GAUGAAGAACGUAGCGAAAUGCGAUAAGUAAUGUGAAUUGCAGAAUUCAGUGAAUCAUCGAAUCUUUGAACGCACCUUGCGCCCUUUGGCUAUUCCGAAGGGCAUGCCUGUUUGAGUAUCGUGAACACCUCAACUCUCAUGGUUUGCCAUGAUGAGCUUGGACUUGGGGGUUUUGCUGGCCUUCGGUCGGCUCCUCUCAAACGGAUCAGCUUUCCAGUGUUUGGUGGCGUCACGGGUGUGAUAACUAUCUACGCCUGUGGUUUUCUGCCAGAUAACCUUCAGCGAUGGAGGUUCGCUGGGGCUCAUAAAUGUCUCUCUUCAGUGGAGACAGCUUUUUGGACGUUUGAUCUCAAAUCAGGUAGGACUACCCGCUGAACUUAAGCAUAUCAAUAAGCGGAGG
RNAcentral lists this unclassified non-coding RNA (400 nucleotides) under soil metagenome. RNAcentral's name for it is "partial contains 5.8S ribosomal RNA, internal transcribed spacer 2, and large subunit ribosomal RNA". The stretch from base 1 to 121 matches the Rfam family "5.8S ribosomal RNA", at positions 35 to 154 of the family's 154-position model. The record is from RNAcentral.